UACGUAGGGCGCGAACGUUGUCCGGAAUUAUUGGGCGUAAAGAGCUCGUAGGCGGCUUGUCGCGUCGGAUGUGAAAGCCCGGGGCUUAACCCCGGGUCUGCAUUCGAUACGGGCAGGCUAGAGUUCGGUAGGGGAGAUCGGAAUUCCUGGUGUAGCGGUGAAAUGCGCAGAUAUCAGGAGGAACACCGGUGGCGAAGGCGGAUCUCUGGGCCGAUACUGACGCUGAGGAGCGAAAGCGUGGGGAGCGAACAGG
This 253-nucleotide ribosomal RNA is filed under the name uncultured bacterium. RNAcentral describes it as "partial 16S ribosomal RNA". It matches the Rfam family "Bacterial small subunit ribosomal RNA", at positions 524 to 776 of the family's 1533-position model. The record is from RNAcentral.